GCUUGUGUAGCGCUAUAGGAGUAGCGCCCGCCCGUAUUCUUGAGGUCAUGUUAAGACAUUUUGCGGUACACGAUGGAUUGACCUGUUUAUUCGCAUGCCAGUAAUGCGUUAAUCUUGAUUAACUAAAGUAUGUCGUGUGGAUUGUUCAAUGAUUUUUUUACAUAUGCUAAUGCUAGUUAUACUUGAUUCGGGAUUUCUGGAACAUUCUUAUGUGAUAAACCUGUUAUUAACUUCGCAAGAAGCCACACCUUAACAUGUAUAGCGCUUGUGUAGCGCUAUAGGAGUAGCGCACCGCCCAUAUUCUAGUGGUCAUGUUAAGUUAACAACAUUACACCCUUUUUGUUGCGACGAUGAGGGGUAGUCAACAUUGCGGUACACGAUGGCUUGACAUGUUUACUCACAUGCCAGUAAUACGUUAAUCUUGGUUAACUAAGUAUAUCAUGUGGUUGUUCAAAGAUUUCACUCCUACUCUAUACUCUCUCAUACUUAAACACAAUCAUGCUUACAUACCUAAAUCUUUAUACGUUAUCACACACACAUUCAUACUCGUAAUACGAUAAUGUACCCUGACCCAUACACUACUAGUACAAACUAUGCGGAUCAUGCACAUACCAAAAUAAUCGCGGAUGCAUACGUGAUUAUAUUGGUAGAUGCAUGAAAACCAUAUUAGGUUCUAUUGUGUAUCAUAACACGAGUCGCGAAACGGACGUAACAUGAUAUGAACAUGGUGGAUACGCCACUGUUACUUCCUAUAUAUAAGUGUUCCUACCAUAUUACCAAACUUUCGUAAAAAUGUGUCAUGAGAAAUUCGGUGUUUCCUCAUACCUCAUUGAAUGCAAACUUUGAUCACAAACCACCAAUUUCUCGGUAAUACCCAGAACACACUUCGAAGAUGCCAUCUUUCCCCAAGGUCUUUCUCUCGAAUAAAUUUCGGGACGAAAUUUCCUAAAGUAGGGGAGACUGUAACGCCUCGUAUUUUCAUAUUUUUAUAUUUUUAUAAAUUUUAGAAAAUUCAAGUUCGUUUUCUAUUUUUAUAAAAUCAGAUCGAAAAAAACGGAAUAAAAACGUCAAACGACGCAUUUUUUAGGCGCUUUUAACGCAAUCGACAACGAACGUGUCAAAACUGACUUCCAACAUACAUUUUACGUAUUUUCAACUCUAAAUAAAAAUUUACGAGAUAUUAUGAAGUUUGGGUGCGAAAACGGGCUCUUAGGAAUUAACUGGCCACUUAUAACACGUAAAGUGGGUUUGUGAGCCUUGGGCCCAAACCCAAAGACCACUAACUAAACCUAGUAUUGGAAGGAAGUGACAACCCUAAUUCUCAUUCUGUUACAGUAGCCGCACAUUGCAAGAUUGCUCCCUCUCGUCUCUGUCUCUUCGUCUGCACUUUUAUUACAAAAAAAAAGAAACCUCACAACACAGACAAACACCCUCAUUACUCUCCUGUCCCUCCCAUCGUUCAUGUUCAUGUUCCGGCGACCGGAAUAACCGGCGACUGUCCGCGUAGUUCUCUGACAACAGCCGCACCCCCAGCUGAUGGUAACCGUUUCUCACACACACCCCCAUCUCGAAGAACAGGAGAGAGAGUGAAACAGAGUGAGAAGGAAAGGGAAGCACGGCAGCGGCGCCGCCGCUCACGACGGCGACAGUGGAGGCGACAGUGGUGGUUGAGGCUCCUCCGACGAGUUGCUCAAGUUCCGAUGAAGAUUGAUUAUGGUAAUGGAGACCGACGACAGUGAUGAUGAUGAAGUUCUGGUUCGGGUUGGGCACCGUCAACUGGUCAGCGAUUCAAGAAUGGUUCAGAUCUGGUUCGAAUUCCGGGUCACGUUACGCUUGGUUCCGUCAACAGCAGGUGGUUCCGUUCCAGUUCGAAUCUCGGUUCAGGCUCUGAGAUGAUGACUGGAGAAACCGCGGCGGUUCUUUUACGUGUUCGACAAUAAUCGCUUUGUUCGUUCUCUUGGAUUUUCUCAACCUUUACUUGUGCGAUAAUUCAAAGGAUUCUCAUACGCAACCAAUGUUGACGAUUUAAAGAAAGAUGCCCGGAAUCUAGUAGGAUUUGCCUAGAAACGAAUUUAAACUUUAAUGCUUAUUAUAUUGUAUUUUACUUCCAAACUUGAUGGAUUUGGUAUCUAAAUCAUGUACUACAUUACAUAAAUGAAAUGAAGGUUUAUUAUUUGACUA
This is a long non-coding RNA of Helianthus annuus (common sunflower), 2181 nucleotides long. RefSeq lists it as uncharacterized. The record is from RefSeq and is a predicted model, not a curated record. Lineage: Eukaryota; Viridiplantae; Streptophyta; Magnoliopsida; Asterales; Asteraceae. The transcript has 3 exons.